AAAUCUGGCCCCCUAAUCGGGGCCCGAGUUGUAAUUUGUAGAGGGCGCUUUGGUGUUGGCUGCGGCCCAAGUUCCUUGGAACAGGACAUCGCGGAGGGUGAGAAUCCCGUACGUGGCCGCGUGCCUUCGCCGUGUAAAGCCCCUUCGACGAGUCGAGUUGUUUGGGAAUGCAGCUCUAAUUGGGAGGUAAAUUUCUUCUAAAGCUAAAUACUGGCCAGAGACCGAUAGCGCACAAGUAGAGUGAUCGAAAGAUGAAAAGCACUUUGGAAAGAGAGUCAAAAAGCACGUGAAAUUGUUGAAAGGGAAGCGCUUGCAGCCAGACAUGCCCGUGGCUGCUCAUCCAGACCCCCCAAGGUCUGGUGCACUCUCCCACGGGCAGGCCAGCAUCGGUUUGAGCGGUUGGAUAAAGGCUCUGGGAAUGUAGCUCCCCUUUGGGGAGUGUUAUAGCCCGUUGCGGAAUGCAGCCAGCUCGGACCGAGGCCCGCGCGCAUGCUAGGAUGCUGGCGUAAUGGCUGUAAGCGGCCCGUCUUGAAACACGGACCAAGGAGUCUAACAUCUAUGCGAGUGUUUGGGUGUCAAGCCCGGGCGCGCAAUGAAAGUGAAUGGAGGUGGAAACCCCUUUGAGGGCGCACCAUCGACCGAUCCUGAUGUCUUCGGAUGGAUUUGAG
Molecule: ribosomal RNA, 668 nt
Filed under: Posidoniomyces atricolor
Lineage: Eukaryota; Fungi; Ascomycota; Dothideomycetes; Pleosporales; Aigialaceae
Description: partial large subunit ribosomal RNA
Rfam family: Eukaryotic large subunit ribosomal RNA
Source: RNAcentral